This 402-nucleotide ribosomal RNA is filed under the name uncultured bacterium. RNAcentral's name for it is "bacterial SSU rRNA". It matches the Rfam family "Bacterial small subunit ribosomal RNA", at positions 29 to 433 of the family's 1533-position model. The record is from RNAcentral.
AUUGAACGCUGGCGGCAUGCCUAACACAUGCAAGUCGAACGGAGGUAGGGGCAACUCUACUUCAGUGGCGGACGGGUGAGGAAUGCGUCGGAAUCUACCCUAUGGUGGGGGAUAACACAGGGAAACUUGUGCUAAUACCGCAUAAUGUCGAGAGACCAAAGCAGGGGACCGGCAAGGCCUUGCGCGAUAGGAUGAGCCGACGCCCGAUUAGCUAGUUGGUAGGGUAAAGGCCUACCAAGGCGACGAUCGGUAGCUGGUCUGAGAGGAUGAUCAGCCACACUGGGACUGAGACACGGCCCAGACUCCUACGGGAGGCAGCAGUGGGGAAUAUUGGACAAUGGGCGGCAAGCCUGAUCCAGCAAUGCCGCGUGUGUGAAGAAGGCCUGCGGGUUGUAAAGACAC